UUCCACUAGCCGGUCUUAUGAUCUCUGAGCUCAACUGCAGUGCCUGUUGAGUGGAAAUGUGUUUUACUCACUACACUACACUAGCAUUUCACAGAAUUACUACAUGCCCAAUAGACUGCUUCAUUCUCAGCGGUAGCUGGUCGUUGGAACAGAGACUAUGGUCAGGAUUUAAUCCCAAACCGCUUGAUGUUUAGAGGUCCAAUUAGGCAGCAGCAUCGUCGAUCAGAUUGAAUCGCUGCCGAUACCUCUCUGGUCCUGGAUCUCUUUGGGUUUCAUACCAACCCGAACACAAACCUAGUAUUCUCUCUCUCUCUCUCGUUGAUUUCUAAAAGGCAACAGAUUCCCUGUGAAAUAUAUGAAUACAUUCAGCUGUCAGAAGGCACUGAGACCACGCCCACACUGACAUCUAAUUAGCAUAAUACACAAACCCUCGUGGGCUGUGUCUCAACCCACCACGCCCACAUCUAAUUAGCAUAAUACACAAACCCUCUUGGGCUGUGUCUCAAUCCCCCACGCCUGCCUGUCAGCCUUCCUCACCUGAGGUGGAAGGUGACCUUCCUCAUCUGAGGUGGAAGGUGACCUUCCUCAUCUGAGGGGGAAGGUGACCUUCCUCACCUGAGGUGGAAUCGGCCUUCCUCAUCUGAGGUGGAAGGUGACCUUCCUCAUCUGAGGGUGAAGGUGACCUUCCUCACCUGAGGUGGAAUCGACCUUCCUCAUCUGAAGUGGAAUCGGCCUUCCUCAUCUGAGGUGGAAUCGACCUUCCUCACCUGAGGUGGAAUCGACCUUCCUCAUCUGAGGUGGAAGGUGACCUUCCUCAUCUGAGGUGGAAGGUGACCUUCCUCAUCUGAGGUGGAAUCGACCUUCCUCAUCUGAGGGGGAAUCGACCUUCCUCAUCUGAGGGGGGAAGUUGACCUUCCUCAUCUGAGGUGGAAGGUGACCUUCCUCAUCUGAGGGGGGAAGUUGACCUUCCGCAUCUGAGGGGAAGGUGACCUUCAUCAUCUGAGGUGGAAGGUGACAGAGCUACAGCGGUGUUUGUCAAGAGAUCGUGGUGAAACAUCCUUGAAAAAUUUGGUUUUCUCACAAAUACUUCUGUAGCGUCCUAACGAGUCAGAUUGGACCAUCUUAAAACAAUUCCAUAUGUAACCAGGAUGUACGAUUUAGUUUAGUAGGAACUCAGUGCCCUGGGGCCCUUAGACCCCUUUUUCUUUUAACAGCUUUGUGAUGGGGAAUAUAAUUAUAUUGAAACUAACCUGCCAACUGGAACUAAGCCUUAGAGGCACAGACACAGGUUCUCUCUACCCCCUCACAGUUCCCCUGUAGCUAUAACUCAGGCUGACUUGACCUGCUAGUAACUAACACACAUCAGCCUCCACAUCCAAUCUGAAAACAACUGGAACUAAGCCUUAGAGGCACAGACACAGGUUCUCUCUACCCCCUCACAGUUCCCCUGUAGCUAUAACUCAGGCUGACUUGACCUGCUAGUAACUAACACACAUCAGCCUCCACAUCCAAUCUGAAAACAAC
Oncorhynchus gorbuscha (pink salmon) is the source of this 1524-nucleotide long non-coding RNA. RefSeq lists it as uncharacterized. The record is from RefSeq and is a predicted model, not a curated record. The transcript has 2 exons. Lineage: Eukaryota; Metazoa; Chordata; Actinopteri; Salmoniformes; Salmonidae.